GCUGGAAUGUAGCUCAGUGGUAGAGCUCUUGCCUAGAUUGUGCCAGGGCUUGGGUUCAACCCUCAGUAUCAGAA
RNAcentral lists this transfer RNA (74 nucleotides) under Marmota monax (woodchuck). Its description in RNAcentral is "tRNA.Undet". Lineage: Eukaryota; Metazoa; Chordata; Mammalia; Rodentia; Sciuridae. The record is from RNAcentral.